ACUGCAACGCCCAGCGGCGCCUCAGACCUUGACACUUACUCAGCAGAUCAGUUACACACAGGCAGGACCACAUACACCAGCUGUAUCUCUGAACACACAGUCGGGACCAUAACACCAGCUGUAUCCCUCAACACACAGGCCGGACCACAGACACCAGCUGUAUCCCUCAACACACAGGCCGGACCACAAACACCAGCUGUAUCCCUCAACACACAGGCCGGACCACAGACACCAGCUGUAUCCCUCAACACAGAGGCCGGACCACAGACACCAGCUGUAUCCCUCAACACACAGGCCGGACCACAGACACCAGCUGUAUCCCUCAACACACAGGCCGGACCACAAACACCAGCUGUAUCCCUCAACAGCAGCCAAGACAACAGAGAAAAGGAAGAUGGAUGACCUGGACGUGACCUGGAUAAGAGAAGCUGGAUCUUUAGAGUACAUCGCCGAGUUAGCACAUCAACGUCGAACUUUUCUUAUCUGUUAUCAACUUAGCCUUAUCACACGUGAACCUCUCCAGGUGGCACAUGUUAGACAAGCCCUCACACACCUGUACAGGAAAGUUCCCUGCCUGCGUGUGUAUUACGACGAACGAAAUGGAACCAAGUGGCUCCGGGAAGCAACUCAUCCAAACAUUGACUUUAAGGUAGGUAAUUAUUAAUUGUUAGUUUACCAUCAGGUAUCUGAGUCAUUUAUCCAGUCAAAAACUACAUUUCUAACCUAGUAAGUAUAUAUAAAUAUUACUAAAACAAACUAAGGAGCGUAUGAAUGGCUACUAGAGGCAUAACAUGGCUACUAGAGCCAUAACCUGGCUACUAGACCCAUAACCUGGCUACUAGAGGCAUAACCUGGCUACUAGACCCAUUACCUGGCUACUAGACCCAUAACCUGGCUACUAGAGGCAUAACCUG
Molecule: non-coding RNA, 914 nt
Organism: Cherax quadricarinatus
Lineage: Eukaryota; Metazoa; Arthropoda; Malacostraca; Decapoda; Parastacidae
Source: RefSeq, a predicted model, not a curated record